ACGGGGCCCGCACAAGCGGCGGAGCAUGCGGAUUAAUUCGAUGCAACGCGAAGAACCUUACCAAGGCUUGACAUAUACGGUCUAUCCCUAGAGAUAGGGAGUGCUUCGGCGCCGUAUACAGGUGGUGCAUGGUUGUCGUCAGCUCGUGUCGUGAGAUGUUGGGUUAAGUCCCGCAACGAGCGCAACCCUCGUUCUAUGUUGCCAGCGCGUAAUGGCGGGGACUCAUAGGAGACUGCCGGGGUCAACUCGGAGGAAGGUGGGGAUGACGUCAAAUCAUCAUGCCCCUUAUGUCUUGGGCUUCACGCAUGCUACAAUGGCCGGUACAAAGGGCUGCGAUACCGCAAGGUGGAGCGAAUCCCAAAAAGCCGGUCUCAGUUCGGAUUGAGGUCUGCAACUCGACCUCAUGAAGUCGGAGUCGCUAGUAAUCGCAGAUCAGCAACGCUGCGGUGAAUACGUUCCCGGGCCUU
RNAcentral lists this ribosomal RNA (467 nucleotides) under uncultured Demequina sp. RNAcentral's name for it is "bacterial SSU rRNA". It matches the Rfam family "Bacterial small subunit ribosomal RNA", at positions 916 to 1381 of the family's 1533-position model. Lineage: Bacteria; Bacillati; Actinomycetota; Actinomycetes; Micrococcales; Demequinaceae. The record is from RNAcentral.